Molecule: transfer RNA, 54 nt
Filed under: Aneides lugubris
Lineage: Eukaryota; Metazoa; Chordata; Amphibia; Caudata; Plethodontidae
Description: partial tRNA-His
Source: RNAcentral
GUAUAUAUAAUUUAAAUAAAAUAUUAAACUGUGACUUUAAUUAUGAGAGUUAAA